Molecule: RNA transcript, 5151 nt
Organism: Phycodurus eques (leafy seadragon)
Lineage: Eukaryota; Metazoa; Chordata; Actinopteri; Syngnathiformes; Syngnathidae
Gene name: zinc finger protein 184-like
Exons: 3
Source: RefSeq, a predicted model, not a curated record
GUCAAAGCAAAAAGCAAACAAAAAAGUUAGCAAGACGGCACGAGUUCAAUACGGGUUCAAUAGUGUGCAUGGCUGCGUCUGAUCCUCGUUGCUUACAUAUUUAUAACAAUGUCAACGGAAUCGAUUCUUCACGUGUGAAUAAACGUGGGCUUUGAAGCAGUUCCAUCUUACUUUAGCGCGCUCGCUGCUAACUAAGCGAGGCGGUUUUUGUUUUGUUUUGUUAGCAACAUCUAAUUACAGCAAAGCUCGAGUGUUAAGUGUUGUGUUGUGGAUAUCGCAUGGAAAAAUGUGUAAAGUAGAAAUGCUUAAAGCGUUGUUGAAUCAGCGACUAAGUGCGGCCGUUGACGAAAUAUUUGUAGUGUUUGAAAGAACGAUUGCAGAGUACGAGGAAGAACUUUCUCGAACAAAAGAGCAGAACGAGAGACAACGUCACCUACUGGACGCUGCUUUCAAGCAGCCGCAAAAUGGAGAAGCUGCAGGGACAAGGACGACUGGUUGCAAUCGAAGGAAAGAUGAAUGCGGCAAAGUACGGGGAUAUUCUGGACGAAAAUCUUCUCCAGAGUGCUCAGGAUCUCAGACUGGGCUGAAGGUUCAACUUCCAACAAGACAAUGACCAUAAGCACACAGCUAAACUAACGAAGGAGUGGCUUCAGAACAACUCCUUGACUGUUCUUGAAUGGCCCAGCCAGAGCCCUGACUUCAACCCAAUUGAGCAUCUCUGGAAAGACCUGAAAAUGGCUGCCCACUAACGUUCACCAUCCAACCUGACAGAACUGGAGAGGAUCUGCAAGGAGGAAUGGGACAGAAUCCCCAAAUCCAGACUUCAGUGAAGAUCCUCCUCCUAAACUGCAGAACUGGAGCACCGCGUUGGAGCAGCGGGACCCAGAAUGCCCCCACAUUAAGUACGAAGAUGAGGAGCCAGAGUCCUCCCAUGGCAAAGAGGAGGAGGAGGCUAAUGUAACCAAGUUGCCAUUCACUGGUGUCAUUGUGAAGAGUGAGGAUGAUGUAGAAGAAGACCACUGCAGAGGAUCCCAAGCAGACAGCCAAUUAGUUUCACAAUCAGAUUGUGACUAUGGAACGUCACACUCUCCUAACACUCAUGAUGAUGAACACUCUAAAGGGGAUAAGACAUGUCGCAUUGUUCUCAAGCACGUAACAUGUUCUCAAUGUGGGAAAGUCUUUAUCAACAGGUCCACCUUGGAAAGACACAUGAGAUGUCACACAGGAGAAAAACCUUUUAGCUGCUCACAUUGUGGGAAAUGUUUCACUCAAAAGGGAAGUUUGACAACACACACAAGAACACACACUGGAGAAAAACCGUUUUCCUGCUCAGUCUGCAACACACGUUUUCAUGUCCGCUCACUACUGGUUCAACACAUGAGAAAACACACUGGGGAGAAACCUUUUUCCUGCCUAGUUUGUGGUAAAAGUUUCUCUCAAAGGGGAAAUUUGAGAGCACAUACAAAAACACAUCCUGGAUAUACAUUUACCGCUCAAUCAACGACACAAAUUUUAGGAUUGGGUUCUGAUUCGGUACAUGAGUAGAUACACUGGUGAGAAACCUUCUAUUUCCUUGGUGUGUAAUAAUCCACAGGCUUCCUACGCAAAUAUGGAGCGUACUAUGUUGAUUUGAUACAUUUCCAGGUCUGGAAAAGUAUGGAAAAUUGAAACUAUUGUAUAGAAAAGCAUUUGUUUUCAGUACCAUUACCACUGAUCUGUAGAUACAAUUAAGAAUAUUGGGUUUGAGAGGGAAGACGUUUAUUGAUCUCACAAGGUAAGACCCUGUAAAGUGAAUUCAGAGAUUUGUUUCUAAAUACGUUAUACAUGUUUGAUGACUGAGGUAGUUCUCAAUUGUGGAGAUAGACUGUAAACUAUUGUUCACCAUUUCAGUGUUCCUUAUUAUUUAGGGCGUGACUAAAACGGCACCCAGUGACGCUCCUGGUCGUCACUCACUAAAAUCUCAAGCGCUGUGAUUUAAUUAGUCGUUAACCUGUGUAAUAGCGAGUUACGAAGGCUGGCCACACAAUUUUUUAUUUUAUUUUUUUAACUGAGAAGGUUGGUAAUUAGGGUCUGGGAAAAGUAUAGAAAUUUUAAAUUUCAAAUGUGUAAGAGUCCUGAAUACACAACAACCUUUACUGAUUGUAGCCAUCUGUUCUUAAUUGUGGUGAAGUAACCCAGGAUACAUUCAUCAACGCACACAUUUCCAAGUGGCUAUCUGCCCUGUGAUGUCGUGUAAAACAAUUUCGUCAGGCCAUAAUAGUAACGCUAAAAAAUGUAAAUAAUUUUAUUUAUUUUUUUCAGGAAUUUUUUUAUGCCAGUCUUGGUUUGAUAUGGGUAAAUUUAUUUUCAAAAAGCUAUUGAUGAUUUUAAACAUUUUGGCCAUAAUAGUAAUUCAUGGCAGUGCAGUGCAGUGCAAAUGUAAUCUCAACAACAUUUCCUAAACUAUUUACAAAAAUCAAAACGAUAAGUUUUAUUUAUGAAGAACAGCCUUAUUCAAUAAAAACACAAUCAGCAGUGAGCUUCAAGGCUAAACUUUCCCGGAUGGUGGUUAAUCUUUAUGGAAUCAAUACUUUGAACAACUGACAAAGUAAUUGCGUAACUUAAGCUAUGCACUGAUUAAAGAACACCCAUCCUUUAGAAUGUAUGACGUUUUGCAUCAAUCUUAUCCUGACUCAAAUUCUUCCACAGCAUUGUUGAGAGAACCCAAUGACAGAGCAAAUGGUGGUGGCCCACUGAAAUACGCUUCUUCCAUAACGGUAAAGUCAAAAAGUGCAGAACUGUAAAGACAUGAACCGUUUCAUAAAAAUCGUGUCACAUGAUUGACGUGUUGCCCUUCAAACUCUGCAGAUACAAGUGCAUAAAUGAUCCUCAUGACUCAUUAAUUCCAUUACACUUUUGUAUUUAUACGAUUGUCUGAACGGUAAAGACGUGCAUGUGAACUUUCAAAAAUUCAUAACGUAUCUCAGAAAUACCAGCGUUUAUUUUUGGUCUGCUAAUGUGUAAAUCAAUGCAAAAUGGCUACCUCAUCCUGGCACUUCAGAUCACAGAUCCCUCUGAGGUAUUGAAACAACAUUGAGGUUUUCUCCAGUGGCAUUAAUGGUAAAGACAGCUCGAGUGACAGGACCAUUUGUAAAAGAAAAGGAAACGCUAAGAUGCAUUUGUAGAGAGAGAGAUUAAAUGAAAAUGACCCAUAUAUAAUUUGAAGACAGAUGUCUGUACUUUCUAUUUUGGUACCUUUUUCAACCAGAUGACAACAUAGCAUUAAAAGAGAUUCCGGGGACUUAUUAGGCGGAACAAAUAGGGACAGUCACGACAUGGACGAAGUGAACAAAGGAGCGUUAACUCCGCAAGUUUCGGAGAAGUGAGAUAAUCCCCAUACUUGGUCUUAUUGAAGCAGGAAUGGAUGAUUUGCAUUGUAUCAAACCACCAGAUUCUGAUAUUGUGAAAUCGGGGGGAACGGAUACAGAUAAGGUGUAUUUUUUUUAAUUAUCAGCUAAGUUAGCAUUUUCUGUUACUCAGUUCACAAGUGGCAAGACCAUGUGAACAUGUUUUCAUAUCAUCAAAGUCGAGCUAACGCUGACUACCUAUCAAACAUGCGAUACCGAUUUCUUGUUCUUCUCAGUAUGAAUGCUAUGUAAGUUAAUUAAGGAGGAAAACUAUUUUGUGUGCAGUUUUCCCGCUGUGCCAAGUUAUCAAAAUGUGAAUUGUAUAUAAUUGAAAGUACAAAUUUCUACUAGCUCCUAAGUGAUGCAGACUUUGUAUCGCUCCGUUGUGGUAAAGAAGGAGCUAAGCCGAAAGGCGAAGCUCUCAAUUUACCGGUCGAUCUACGUUCCCACCCUCACCUAUGGUCACGAGCUGUGGGUCGUUGAGGUGGCUGGGGCAUCUGAUUCGGAUGCCUCCCGGACGCCUCCCUGGUGAGGUGUUCCGGGCACGUCCCACCGGGAGGAGACCCCGGGUACGACCCAGGACACGCUGGAGAGACAAUGUCUCACAGCUGGCCUCGGGAUCCCCCCGGAAGAGCUGGAUGAAGUGGCUGGGGAGAGGGAAGUCUAGGCGUCCCUGCUAAAGCUACUGCCCCUGCGACCAAACCUCGGAUAAGCGGAAGAAAAUGGAUGGAUGGAUGAAAUAAAAAAUGUAUUACUUGUGUACUCGCAUACAUUUCCGAGUCUGUACUUUUUUACUUAAGUACAGGAGUUAAAUCAGUUCUACUUUUACCAGUCCUUUUUUCCACAAGUAUCUGUAUUUUUACUUAAGUACAGCGUGUGAGUACUUUUGCCACAACUGCUUAACGUAACCAACACUCGUGCUCAGUCGUUCAUGUGGCGAAUGGAAAUCUGGACAUAAAUUCUUGGAUGCGCCCUUUUAAUGUACUGUAAAUCCACUUAGCGCUCUCAAUGCCAUGAGGAAUAGUAGGCCCCAAUUGCCGUUUCAGUAAGGGAGCAGGUGAUUGGCCCACUGUCCGACCUGGUAUUUCUAUUGGUCUCCCAUCCAACCGGGGCCAAUCCUGCUUAGCUUCCGAGAUCAGGCAGUAUGUGAGGAUCUGGUUGGUGUAAAUACGCUUACUUCCCGGUAACUUCCAGUGGGUUUUCCUCUUGUCCCCAUUGUCAUUUGCAUAUCACUGCCUGUGUGUGUUGUGGAACAUACUGCAGCUUUCAUCAUUCUGUCAAUACGCGCAAACUGUUGAAAUGCUGUAAAUUGACCCUAACUCAUUCUUUGCUCUUGUCUUUUGCUGUCAAUGUUCUCCAUUCAUAUUGAUGGUAUUCGACUAAAGUAAACAAGACACUGUCAACCUCAUUGAAAUUAUAAACCAUCACAACCUAUCUGUGCAAUCACCACAUACAAUGCCAUAUAUUUGUGUUGUUCUAGAAUAAUAUAUGACGUAAAUGCUGAUUCGCACAUAAAAAUAUCCAAUGAAUCUAACCCCCAACCACACCUACCCACACACACACACACACACAUUUUGGUUCCAAAACAUUAUUGUACUCAAUAGAAAUAUAUAGCAAUAUGAAAGUGUUACCUUGCUAUGAAUACUUGCAUACACUGAUUGGAACUUGCUGCUUAUUUAUUUAAAAAGAAAAAGAAAAGGACAAACAAGUUUUCUGUUCAUGACAGACACAUUGAAGACGACGAAGGAAUAUGUUGUAUAUGUCC